GGCAGUCGGAUAGCUGCGUCUUGGAAAGGAAAAUCCAAAGAUGAGGAAAGUCCGGGCUUCACGGAAACAAGAUACCAGAUAACGUCUGGCUGGAGAAAUCCACGGGAAAGUGCCGCAGAAAGUUACCGCCGAGCGUGUUUCGGUAAGGUUGAAAAGGCGAGGUAAGAGCUCACCGCGUAAGCAGUAAUGUUUAUGGCAUAGGUAAACCCUAUCUGAUGUAAGACCAAAUGAGGAGGCUUCGGUUUUUCCGAAUGCAAGGAGAGUUUCCGCUCCGCUCCAGAGGUGGGUCGCACCAGCCGGAUGGCGACAUCCGGCGCAGAUGAAUAGCUAUCGCACAAAUCUUUGCCAUUAAAGGUAAAGCAAAUCGUGUACAGAACUCGGCUUAUAGAUUGCCUU
Molecule: RNase P RNA, 396 nt
Filed under: bovine gut metagenome
Description: Bacterial RNase P class A
Rfam family: Bacterial RNase P class A
About the family: Ribonuclease P (RNase P) is a ubiquitous endoribonuclease, found in archaea, bacteria and eukarya as well as chloroplasts and mitochondria.
Source: RNAcentral